This 451-nucleotide ribosomal RNA is filed under the name uncultured bacterium. Its description in RNAcentral is "partial 16S ribosomal RNA". It matches the Rfam family "Bacterial small subunit ribosomal RNA", at positions 354 to 796 of the family's 1533-position model. The record is from RNAcentral.
GUGGGGAAUAUUGGACAAUGGGCGAAAGCCUGAUCCAGCCAUGCCGCGUGUGUGAAGAAGGCCUUUUGGUUGUAAAGCACUUUAAGCGAGGAGGAGGCUACUGAGAUUAAUACUCUUGGAUAGUGGACGUUACUCGCAGAAUAAGCACCGGCUAACUCUGUGCCAGCAGCCGCGGUAAUACAGAGGGUGCAAGCGUUAAUCGGAUUUACUGGGCGUAAAGCGCGCGUAGGUGGCCAAUUAAGUCAAAUGUGAAAUCCCCGAGCUUAACUUGGGAAUUGCAUUCGAUACUGGUUGGCUAGAGUAUGGGAGAGGAUGGGAGAAUUCCAGGUGUAGCGGUGAAAUGCGUAGAGAUCUGGAGGAAUACCGAGGGCGAAGGCAGCCAUCUGGCCUAAUACUGACACUGAGGUGCGAAAGCAUGGGGAGCAAACAGGAUUAGAAACCCUGGUAGUCC